CUUAUACAACCCUCUUCCAGGUAAAUAUGUUGGAAAUCGACCCAUAAAACUGCGGAAGAGCAAUUGGAAGGAGAGGACAGAUUUCGAUGCCCUUGGAAGGCAUAAGAAUCACAAUCAAAAGAAACCGAAGCUUCCAAAGAAGAGUUUCUUGCACAAGUGAUCAGUGGAAUGUGUGUACACAUAUGAUGAAACUUUUGAGUGAGCAAUUAGAAUGUAUCUCUAAGAAUCUUUUACCCCUCCUUUUAAUAGAUAAUGACUUGAAUUAGUUUGUAUCUGUUUCAAUAUAAAAUUUCAGUAACCAAUUAUUUAGCUUUCA
Long non-coding RNA from Pistacia vera, 316 nucleotides. RefSeq lists it as uncharacterized. The transcript has 2 exons. The record is from RefSeq and is a predicted model, not a curated record. Lineage: Eukaryota; Viridiplantae; Streptophyta; Magnoliopsida; Sapindales; Anacardiaceae.